This 1584-nucleotide ribosomal RNA is filed under the name Citrobacter freundii. Its description in RNAcentral is "partial 23S ribosomal RNA". It matches the Rfam family "Bacterial large subunit ribosomal RNA", at positions 1 to 1617 of the family's 2925-position model. The record is from RNAcentral. Lineage: Bacteria; Pseudomonadati; Pseudomonadota; Gammaproteobacteria; Enterobacterales; Enterobacteriaceae.
GGGUUGUGAGGUUAAGCGACUAAGCGUACACGGUGGAUGCCCUGGCAGUCAGAGGCGAUGAAGGACGUGCUAAUCUGCGAUAAGCGUCGGUAAGGUGAUAUGAACCGUUAUAACCGGCGAUUUCCGAAUGGGGAAACCCAGUGUGAUUCGUCACACUAUCAUUACGUGAAUACAUAGCGUAAUGAAGCGAACCGGGGGAACUGAAACAUCUAAGUACCCCGAGGAAAAGAAAUCAACCGAGAUUCCCCCAGUAGCGGCGAGCGAACGGGGAGCAGCCCAGAGUCUGAAUCAGCUUGUGUGUUAGUGGAACGGUCUGGAAAGUCCGACGGUACAGGGUGAUAGUCCCGUACACCAAAAUGCACAGGUUGUGAACUCGAAGAGUAGGGCGGGACACGUGGUAUCCUGUCUGAAUAUGGGGGGACCAUCCUCCAAGGCUAAAUACUCCUGACUGACCGAUAGUGAACCAGUACCGUGAGGGAAAGGCGAAAAGAACCCCGGCGAGGGGAGUGAAAAAGAACCUGAAACCGUGUACGUACAAGCAGUGGGAGCAUCCUUUUGGGUGUGACUGCGUACCUUUUGUAUAAUGGGUCAGCGACUUAUAUUCUGUAGCAAGGUUAACCGUAUAGGGGAGCCGAAGGGAAACCGAGUCUUAACUGGGCGUUAAGUUGCAGGGUAUAGACCCGAAACCCGGUGAUCUAGCCAUGGGCAGGUUGAAGGUUGGGUAACACUAACUGGAGGACCGAACCGACUAAUGUUGAAAAAUUAGCGGAUGACUUGUGGCUGGGGGUGAAAGGCCAAUCAAACCGGGAGAUAGCUGGUUCUCCCCGAAAGCUAUUUAGGUAGCGCCUCGUGAAUUCAUCUUCGGGGGUAGAGCACUGUUUCGGCUAGGGGGUCAUCCCGACUUACCAACCCGAUGCAAACUGCGAAUACCGAAGAAUGUUAUCACGGGAGACACACGGCGGGUGCUAACGUCCGUCGUGAAGAGGGAAACAACCCAGACCGCCAGCUAAGGUCCCAAAGUCAUGGUUAAGUGGGAAACGAUGUGGGAAGGCACAGACAGCCAGGAUGUUGGCUUAGAAGCAGCCAUCAUUUAAAGAAAGCGUAAUAGCUCACUGGUCGAGUCGGCCUGCGCGGAAGAUGUAACGGGGCUAAACCAUGCACCGAAGCUGCGGCAGCGACACUAUGUGUUGUUGGGUAGGGGAGCGUUCUGUAAGCCGUUGAAGGUGUAUCGUGAGGUAUGCUGGAGGUAUCAGAAGUGCGAAUGCUGACAUAAGUAACGAUAAUGCGGGUGAAAAACCCGCACGCCGGAAGACCAAGGGUUCCUGUCCAACGUUAAUCGGGGCAGGGUGAGUCGACCCCUAAGGCGAGGCCGAAAGGCGUAGUCGAUGGGAAACAGGUUAAUAUUCCUGUACUUGGUGUUACUGCGAAGGGGGGACGGAGAAGGCUAUGUUAGCCGGGCGACGGUUGUCCCGGUUUAAGCAUGUAGGCGGAGGUUCCAGGUAAAUCCGGUACCUUUUUAACGCUGAGGUGUGAUGACGAGGCACUACGGUGCUGAAGUAACAAAUGCCCUGCUUCCAGGAAAAG